UACGUAGGGGGCAAGCGUUGUCCGGAAUCAUUGGGCGUAAAGCGCGUGUAGGCGGUCCGGUAAGUCGGCUGUGAAAGUCCAGGGCUCAACCCUGGGAUGCCGGUCGAUACUGCCGGACUAGAGUUCGGAAGAGGCGAGUGGAAUUCCCGGUGUAGCGGUGAAAUGCGCAGAUAUCGGGAGGAACACCAAUGGCGAAGGCAGCUCGCUGGGACGUUACUGACGCUGAGACGCGAAAGCGUGGGGAGCAAACAGGG
This 254-nucleotide ribosomal RNA is filed under the name uncultured bacterium. RNAcentral's name for it is "partial 16S ribosomal RNA". It matches the Rfam family "Bacterial small subunit ribosomal RNA", at positions 524 to 777 of the family's 1533-position model. The record is from RNAcentral.